GAUGAAGAACGCAGCGAAAUGCGAUAAGUAAUGUGAAUUGCAGAAUUCAGUGAAUCAUCGAAUCUUUGAACGCAUCUUGCGCUCCUUGGUAUUCUGAGGAGCAUGCCUGUUUGAGUGUCAUUAAAUUCUCAACUACACUGACUUUGAAUUGGUGUGGCUUGGAUUUGGGGGGAAAAUUGUUGUGGGCUUUUUGUAUAGUCUGCUCCCCUGAAAUUGAUUAGCGGUACCUUUGUGGAACUGUCUACAGGUGUGAUAAUUAUCUACAUCUUAGACAUCUGCUGGAAUGCUGCUCUCUAAACCUUACUUGUAUUGACAAUCUUGACCUCAAAUCAGGUAGGACUACCCGCUGAACUUAAGCAUAUAAUAAGCGGAGA
Molecule: unclassified non-coding RNA, 374 nt
Filed under: soil metagenome
Description: partial contains 5.8S ribosomal RNA, internal transcribed spacer 2, and large subunit ribosomal RNA
Rfam family: 5.8S ribosomal RNA (bases 1-120)
Source: RNAcentral